GGAUCACGACUGCUAUGUAUAUAAUUAAAUAGCACGAGAGGGACUCAUCACAAUCUCAUUCUCUCGUCCCGGAUGUCACCGAAUGCCACACGUAGAAAAGGACGGUCGAGGCAACAGUAGCUCUCGGGGUCUAUAAAUGGACAUACGCACAACGAAAGAUCGGAUGGACCUCUAAUUUCUCGGCUCGGAGCUUGUACAUCAUUAAAGAAUUUCACACCUGACCUUCCACCUUUUUAUCGCGCGGAGGUUUUUUCGCCUCCUUCUCGUCCGAUGUGUCGCAAGACUUCUCUCCGGAUCGAACUACGGUUUACCGUAGCCUCGGGUCGAACGGUCAAUUCUAUCGGAGCUGCUGAUGCCCCUGCGCUUCCUCCUUUACGGAGAGGUACUCGGCUAGACCUUUUUUUCUGAGCAGGAAGCAGUGAAUAUUUUCUGGAUUUCUUCAUUCAGGUUGAAUCUUUUUUUCUGCUGAAAGAAAAUGGAAAAGUUUGCUCCUCGCGUUGCGACUCAUUUCCGGAGGUACGAAGAGAGCCAACUGGAAAGUUUGUUUUUCGCGCAGCUCUUUGAGAAACACAAAGUUGGGAAUGUUCACCCCCGGGGGCUCGAUUAGUUGGCCAGCACCAGGAGACGUAAAGUGUACAGAUUUUACGAGCGUUUCGGUCUUGCUAGAAAUUUUAUGGCAAAAAUAAUCAUCCGAGGGAAUAGACACAGAAGCGAUCGUUUCAAAAUUGAUGACAAAUUGACAGAAAAUCUUGUCUCUAACGAGACGCUGCCACUGCUUCAAAGAUCGAGGUCGUACAUAAAGAGUCACAUUAAAUUGAGCCACGACUCGCGCUCUAAGUGCGUGUGCGCGUCUUUGUAAAUAUAAUUUACACGUACAAAGAGGCACGAAUGCAGAUGUGAGUUCGCUGCCUCGGAGAGUGUGGGUGUGUCUCCCCAUCGUAUAUAUUCGAGCACGAAGAGGCUUGGAAGGAGAAUAUUCCUCGGCUCGUCGCCCUUGACGAGGAAACUUGGAAUCGACAAUCUCGAAAGUAAGAACCUCGAGUACUUUCCAACUGUAUAUUCCCCGUGCACAAUACAAACUCCUUUGGCAAAGAUGUUGAGAGUGAUAUAUAGGACACGUUAAACGAUCGCGAACGAACGAAAGGAAGUGGACCAAUGCGAUCGAGCCUCUCCAGAGGGAUGCUGCUUACGUCCUUUUCAUUCUACGCCUAUUUAUAUCUCGCCCCGGCACCAGGAUACCCCAUAAAAUAAAGCACGAGCCACCUUUGGGAGGGACUCAAUCUUCUCAACGAGAGGCCUUCUCGCCUUGCACACGCCACCGAUAUAUUGGUCAACGGAGAAUUCCUUGAGGAAGGUUCAUAUUAAUUCUCGAGCGAGUUGACGCGAGCGUCAUUCCGGAGAAAUAUUAUCUUGUCACAUUCGAUCUCUGACUCGACCUCCGAAGAAACUUCAUUUUUCAUUGAAUUUUACAAAAUAUCGUAUACGAAAUGUCUCUCGGCCUGAGUCUGGACGGAAAUCAUCGAGAAGAACAAGCGAAAACAAAAACGAACGAAAUUCGAGGAGUUUCUCUCAAGGAGCCCCCUUUUCGAGUCUCCAUCGCACGGAACCAGACCGAAACCUCCUCAACAAUCGGAGACCAACGACAAUGCGAAUAAUAACAAUUGUAAUAAUCGUUUUAACAGCACACAAUGGACACUUCCCGAAGAUAAAUACCGAGAGAACGAAUGAAAUGACUGGAAUAAAGUAUCGAUCCGGAUAAGAAUGAUUUUUCGUUUGUACGAGCAUAUCUCUGGCGUAUCCUGUGGACAUUUGAACAGUGUUUCAAUAGCGAUAUAUUUAGGUUUCGAGGCGCCCCGGUAACAGCGGCGGCACAGCCUCGCAAUCGCGCAUAGCUCGAGCUCGCUCUCGUAGUACGGCAUAUUUUAUACGUAGCCAACCUAAAACCGGCGACUUUCACUUCUAAUAAAAUGCGAAGGCCUGCUUUUUGCCGCUGCCGCGCUACCGCCGGUGCGCGCGCUCGCCUCUCGUACUGCCGUGCACCACACGCGCCGUCAAACGCUCCGCAACGCUGCUUACCACUUUUCCACGUCUCUCACUUUUCUUUGAAUGUCGAUCCCUUUUCUUUCUUUUCCGCGCUCGUAAAACUCUCAAAUACUCAACUCAAGAGCUGACGCUUACGUUUUGCCAUGACUAAUUGACACCGUCUCAUUUUUUCAGAAGGAAGCACACUCGAACGGUGGGAAUUUGACGAAAUUGCACAGUAAUUCGAAUCCGGGCCGACCCACUUCUACUGCUAUUACAAACACUUCGAAUUUCAUCUGCGUUCAAGUACUCUCGGGAACUGCGAUCCAUCGCUGUCAAACUCAAUUCCGUUGCAGAUCGAGUCGACCCAAUAAGGGACGUCCGUUUCGUUUUGGAAACUCGCCAAUUUAGAGGAUUCCUUCGUUGAUUCGCUCCUUCGUGAAUCUCCCCAUCUUCGGAGUCCGAAUCCUCGUAUAAAAUUUCCUCGAAAUGGUUUUUUUCAUGAAUUUCGCAAUUUGUUUGCAGGAGGAAGAACGAUCGACGCGGGGAUCAAAAAAUUUGGGGCGAAUGAACCCUCCACCGAUGACUGGAUUCUUGAAAAAUUAAUUCUCGAGUAAGCUUUGCUCGUGGCUGAGCUACGGAAGCUUCAAACGUCACUUGCGCGACAGGCUUUUCUCAAUUGGUGCGAGACAAUCACGGAAUUUCUACGGCCGUUCUCCUUCCAGAUAGAAGGAAAGUGAUCCCGUUCGUAAACAUUGGAAAUCUCUUACGACAGUGGAUCGAUGACACCGUAAAUCGAGAGCAUUUCAAUGGGACAACCGAGGGAAUCGUAAAGUUCAAAAAAUAAACGAUCUGGCCACUCUCAUCGGUACUUUUUCGCUUGCAUCGCGCGACAGAACGAGCUACUGGUUUUCAGAGGUGCGUCGAAGAUUCCGCACAGCGAGCGUCGAAGAAAAUAGAAAUUCACGAUGUUCGAGGCCCUCGAAAAAGUGUCACGUACUCGAGGUGUACGAAAGUGGCCCAUCGAGCACUUCUCGUGCAUUCUUCGUCGUACGAGACUCCGCUGGAAUACGUUCAUGAGGCCUUUGAAUCAAGAGAUCCCCGAAUUCAAUGUCCGUCGGUACGCUCGAUACUGAAAAAUCUAAUACAAAACGAAAAAAAGUACCGAUUUCUCGAUCGAGAACGUGAUCGAAAUUCUCAAUUUCUCUUUUCCUCGUCGAUUCGUUCGAGCCCUGCGGCGUGAAAAUUAAAAAAUAGGUGAAAAACUCUAGUGCGUUUUCCGGGAACUCAAAUUUCUAAAUUCGUUUCAAAAUUCCGUGAAAAACUUCUGAAUCGCGGUGAGUGUUGAGUAACGUUGGAAAACGAAAUUUUUAUUCUCGAAAUAUGAAAGGCCUGAGCCGAACAGUCCUCUCCUUGUAUGUGGAGCACAGGCAUGUCCUCAUGCUCGGAGAAGCACGUACAUCACGACGGGCAAUACGUAAGAAAUAAAAAUAUAUAUGGAGUCUCUCUA
RNAcentral lists this long non-coding RNA (3532 nucleotides) under Venturia canescens. RNAcentral's name for it is "uncharacterized LOC122415957". The record is from RNAcentral. Lineage: Eukaryota; Metazoa; Arthropoda; Insecta; Hymenoptera; Ichneumonidae.